This 875-nucleotide ribosomal RNA is filed under the name uncultured bacterium. RNAcentral's name for it is "bacterial SSU rRNA". It matches the Rfam family "Bacterial small subunit ribosomal RNA", at positions 28 to 896 of the family's 1533-position model. The record is from RNAcentral.
AUUGAACGCUGGCGGCGUGCCUAACACAUGCAAGUCGAGCGGUAACAGGUGUAGCAAUACAUGCUGACGAGCGGCGAACGGGUGAGUAAUGCUUUGGAAUCUUCCCAGUAGUGGGGAAUAACCAGUCGAAAGAUUGGCUAAUACCGCAUACGUCUGUAAAGGGAAAGCGGGGGCUCGUAAGACCUCGCGCUAUUGGAUGAGCCAAGGUCGGAUUAGCUAGUUGGUGGGGUAAUGGCCUACCAAGGCGACAAUCCGUAGCUGGUCUGAGAGGACGACCAGCCACACCGGAACUGAGACACGGUCCGGACUCCUACGGGAGGCAGCAGUGGGGAAUAUUGGACAAUGGGGGAAACCCUGAUCCAGCGACGCCGCGUGUGUGAAGAAGGCCUGCGGGUUGUAAAGCACUUUUAGUGGGGACAAAAAGCUACGGAUUAAUACUCUGUGGUCUUGAUUUAACCCAAAGAAAAAGCACCGGCUAACUCUGUGCCAGCAGCCGCGGUAAUACAGAGGGUGCGAGCGUUAAUCGGAAUUACUGGGCGUAAAGCGCGCGUAGACGGUUUUGUAAGUCAGAUGUGAAAUCCCUGGGCUCAACCUGGGAACUGCAUUUGAAACUGCAUGGCUAGAGUAUCGAAGAGGGAAGUGGAAUUUCCGGUGUAGCGGUGAAAUGCGUAGAUAUCGGAAGGAACACCAGUGGCGAAAGCGACUUCCUGGUCGAGUACUGACGUUCAUGUGCGAAAGCGUGGGGAGCAAACAGGAUUAGAUACCCUGGUAGUCCACGCCAUAAACGAUGACAACUAGAUGUUGGGAGGGUCUGCCUCUCGGUGUCGCAGCUAACGCGUUAAGUUGUCCGCCUGGGGAGUACGGCCGCAAGGUUG